UGGUUACGUACUAAAUUAUUGUUGAGGAUCUCAGGUAAUCAUUGCAGUUGAAGAUUACGCCCCUGAUCAUCAUUCUCAUUUUCAAACUUGCCAUUUAUCAGAGGUUUUGGAUGGGGUGCAUUCAUGCAUUAUAUUGGAGCAAGGACCUGCCGAGGAGGGGGAUACCAUGAGGAGGCGAACCUGGUAAAAUAGGGGUGGAAAGUAUACUAUAGGAAAGACUGUGGGGUUUGUGUAUCCUUAUCCAGGACAUUGUGAAGGCUUCUGAUGCAGUUUACAAGAAGCAAUUGGUGAGCUAAUUCAGAGGUUAGGCAACGCUUGUCAUGAUUUUUUAUUUCUGAAGCCACAUUAGCAAGCAUCAUAAAUAUAACUAAAUGAUUGCUGGCUUCCGUAAUUGCCUACAUCAAUGUAAUCUUCCACACUGAAAACACUCAUUUGAGAUUUGCAAGAAGCCUGCAUACUACUUACUGUUGAUGCAUUAACAUUGCAUCCUUCAGAAUUAGCAAGCAGGGCAUAAUGUUAGGUGUC
Molecule: long non-coding RNA, 525 nt
Organism: Triticum dicoccoides
Lineage: Eukaryota; Viridiplantae; Streptophyta; Magnoliopsida; Poales; Poaceae
Exons: 3
Source: RefSeq, a predicted model, not a curated record